This 73-nucleotide transfer RNA is filed under the name Leptolyngbya sp. RNAcentral's name for it is "tRNA-Arg". It matches the Rfam family "tRNA". Rfam says of the family: Transfer RNA (tRNA) molecules are approximately 80 nucleotides in length. Their secondary structure includes four short double-helical elements and three loops (D, anti-codon, and T loops). RNAcentral also lists the same sequence under 1 other name. Lineage: Bacteria; Bacillati; Cyanobacteriota; Cyanophyceae; Leptolyngbyales; Leptolyngbyaceae. The record is from RNAcentral.
GGGCCAUUAGCUCAGGGGAUAGAGCAACCGCCUUCUAAGCGGUCGGUCGCUGGUUCGAUCCCAGCAUGGCCCG